UGUUAAAAAUUUCAUCCAUGUCUAUUAUUAAAAGUCUACGUAGCUAACGGAAUAAUCAAAGAGUUACAUGUGAUGUGCGAUGUAUAUCUCAUGUUGACAUACAAUGACAAGUUUUUAAUAGUAAAAAUGAAUAAAAUUUUUAAUA
RNAcentral lists this microRNA precursor (145 nucleotides) under Gossypium arboreum. RNAcentral's name for it is "MIR7502 microRNA precursor family". It matches the Rfam family "MIR7502 microRNA precursor family". The record is from Rfam by way of RNAcentral. Lineage: Eukaryota; Viridiplantae; Streptophyta; Magnoliopsida; Malvales; Malvaceae.